GUAGGUGUUGCUGAAUGGUUACGCUGUUCGCUUUGUAAGCGGAAGGUUGUGGAUUUGAUUUCCAUCUGCUCCA
This 73-nucleotide transfer RNA is filed under the name Culex quinquefasciatus (southern house mosquito). RNAcentral's name for it is "tRNA-Thr". It matches the Rfam family "tRNA". Rfam says of the family: Transfer RNA (tRNA) molecules are approximately 80 nucleotides in length. Their secondary structure includes four short double-helical elements and three loops (D, anti-codon, and T loops). Lineage: Eukaryota; Metazoa; Arthropoda; Insecta; Diptera; Culicidae. The record is from RNAcentral.